This 967-nucleotide long non-coding RNA is filed under the name Monodelphis domestica (gray short-tailed opossum). Its description in RNAcentral is "lncRNA (ENSMODG00000047143.1)". Lineage: Eukaryota; Metazoa; Chordata; Mammalia; Didelphimorphia; Didelphidae. The record is from RNAcentral.
CUUCUGAGAGUUCCCGAUGGCAAUAGAAACCCAGGCUCAGUCCCUAUUGACACGAACUGAAAUGAAGUCAGUUCCAUUCAAUUAAUUGGACUGCUUGGCAGCUAAGCCUCUUAUUUUUGUAGGGCCCCUUUUACAGCUUUGGAAGUUCCCACAUGGAAGGAAGGUUGAAUCAUUCUAUUCCUCACUUGACUUAUUUGGAUGUGAAGUCAUUUGGAAGGGGUUCAGGCACAAGCUGAUGCCGCUGGCUCGGGGCUCCAAGUUCUCAGGAGAGUGCCUGGAGAACAAGGUCAACACAGCCCAUUUCCAUGACUGCACACAAUGGCCCAACGGCACACCUAGCUAGUUCAUUUAUAAAGAACACCUGGUCCUGCUGGCGAGCUGAUUCAGGAGGGAGAACGCACUGAGUUCAGAUAAGGCAAGAAAUGGAACCAGGGGGUGCUGGGUCUGGGGCAAAUCACACCCCGCGCCGAGCCAGCCCAAACAAUGUUCUACAGGUGAAAUCAAGUUGGAGCCAGGUCUGGUUGUCUAGAGUUACCUACCUACAUCCUUCUUCCCAGACCUGCUAUCUUCCGGCCUCACUGGCUAGCAGGAUGUGCCCUUCCUUGGUCACCCUACAGAAGUACCAGGCUUGAAGCCAUAGCCUAUUUCACAAAAUACCAGAAGCUCAGAAUUCGAGACCUCUCCCUGAAGGAGAACACCAUUUGGACCAUGCCCAACAGGAAAGGGAGGGAAGGAGGGAAGACCAUCUAGCCACUGUCUUUUCCAGCACCUUUUCCUUCUUUCCCUCUCUUUUAAAAAUUAAUUAAUUUUUGUGAAAUCUUCUCCACCACCACCUCCCCAUUAUACAUGUAUUAUUAGCAUGCAAAACAUACUUCCAUAUUAUUCAUUUUUGUAGGUGAUGAUCAUAUAAAACCUAAACCUCAAAGCAUAUACCCAAAUAAACAAGUGAAAAAUCGUUAUGUUUUCA